Eucalyptus grandis is the source of this 331-nucleotide long non-coding RNA. RefSeq lists it as uncharacterized. The transcript is spliced from 3 exons. The record is from RefSeq and is a predicted model, not a curated record. NCBI's taxonomy places the organism in Eukaryota, Viridiplantae, Streptophyta, Magnoliopsida, Myrtales, Myrtaceae.
GAGGUGCCGGAUACAUCGGAAGUUCAUCGUGAAAGCAUGUGCAAAGUCUGGUCACCCUACCUUUGUUCUCGAGACGAAGUCCACACUCUCCAACCCCGCCAACGCCGAAAUCAUCAAAGGUUUCAAGAGCUUAGGCGUGAACCUAGUCCAUGGAGACAUAUACGAUCAAAAGAGUCUGUUGAGUGCGAUUAAGCAGGUUGAUGUGGUAAUCUCUACUGUGGGGAUACCACAGCUAGAAGACCAAGACAGGAUUGUUGCAGCCAUCAAAGCAGCUGGGAAUAUCAAGAGAUUCUUGCCUUCAGAUUUUGGAAAUGAUGCGGAUCGUAACAAU